RNAcentral lists this transfer RNA (73 nucleotides) under Zootermopsis nevadensis. It matches the Rfam family "tRNA". Rfam says of the family: Transfer RNA (tRNA) molecules are approximately 80 nucleotides in length. Lineage: Eukaryota; Metazoa; Arthropoda; Insecta; Blattodea; Termopsidae. The record is from Rfam by way of RNAcentral.
GCCACGGUGGUCUAGCGGUUAGAACGCUGGCUUUGUAAUCCUGGGGUCUCGGGUUCGAUUCCCGGCGGUGCUC